RNAcentral lists this ribosomal RNA (147 nucleotides) under Palaemon carinicauda. Its description in RNAcentral is "partial 18S ribosomal RNA". It matches the Rfam family "Eukaryotic small subunit ribosomal RNA", at positions 458 to 603 of the family's 1831-position model. The record is from RNAcentral. Lineage: Eukaryota; Metazoa; Arthropoda; Malacostraca; Decapoda; Palaemonidae.
GGGGAGGUAGUGACGAAAAAUAACAAUGCGGGACUCUUCCGAGUCUGCGUAAUUGGAAUGAGCACACUCUAAAUCCUUUAGCAACAACCAAUUGGAGGGCAAGUCUGGUGCCAGCAGCCGCGGUAAUUCCAGCUCCACUAGCGUAUA